Molecule: ribosomal RNA, 481 nt
Filed under: uncultured bacterium
Lineage: Bacteria
Description: partial 16S ribosomal RNA
Rfam family: Bacterial small subunit ribosomal RNA
Source: RNAcentral
GACGAACGCUGGCGGCGUGCCUAACACAUGCAAGUCGAACGGAACUGUUUUGAAAGAUUUCUUCGGAAUGAAUUUGAUUUGUUUAGUGGCGGACGGGUUAGUAACGCGUGAGUUACCUGCCUUUCAGAGGGGAAUAACAUUCUGGAAAGAAUGCUAAUACCGCAUGACAUAUCGGAACCACAUUGUUUUGAUUUCAAAGAUUUUAUCGCUUGAAGAUGGACUCGCGUCCGAUUAGUUAGUUGGGGAGGUAACGGCUCACCAAGACCGCGAUCGGUAGCCGGACUGAGAGGUUGAACGGCCACAUUGGGACUGAGACACGGCCCAGACUCCUACGGGAGACAGCAGUGGGGGAUAUUGCGCAAUGGGGGCAACCCUGACGCAGCAACGCCGCGUGAAGGAGGAAGGUUUUCGGAUUGUAAACUUCUUUUAUUAAGGACGAAAAAUGACGGUACUUAAUGAAUAAGCUCCGGCUAACUACGUG